Molecule: signal recognition particle RNA, 73 nt
Filed under: Caldimicrobium sp.
Lineage: Bacteria; Pseudomonadati; Thermodesulfobacteriota; Thermodesulfobacteria; Thermodesulfobacteriales; Thermodesulfobacteriaceae
Description: partial signal recognition particle sRNA small type
Rfam family: Bacterial small signal recognition particle RNA
About the family: The signal recognition particle (SRP) is a universally conserved ribonucleoprotein involved in the co-translational targeting of proteins to membranes. Archaeal SRP consists of a 7S RNA and homologues of the eukaryotic SRP19 and SRP54 proteins.
Source: RNAcentral
UGGUGAACCCCGCCAGGCCCGAAAGGGAGCAACGGUAGCCAGGCUCUCCGGGUGCUGCCCGUUUCCUACGUAG